ACUCCUACGGGAGGCAGCAGUGGGGAAUAUUGCACAAUGGACGAAAGUCUGAUGCAGCAACGCCGCGUGGAGGAUGACACAUUCGGUGCGUAAAUCCUUUUAUAUGAGAAGAUAAGACGGUAUUUAGAUAGCACGUU
RNAcentral lists this ribosomal RNA (137 nucleotides) under uncultured Campylobacterota bacterium. Its description in RNAcentral is "uncultured Epsilonproteobacteria bacterium partial 16S ribosomal RNA". It matches the Rfam family "Bacterial small subunit ribosomal RNA", at positions 335 to 468 of the family's 1533-position model. Lineage: Bacteria; Pseudomonadati; Campylobacterota. The record is from RNAcentral.